RNAcentral lists this ribosomal RNA (301 nucleotides) under uncultured bacterium. RNAcentral's name for it is "partial 16S ribosomal RNA". It matches the Rfam family "Bacterial small subunit ribosomal RNA", at positions 509 to 809 of the family's 1533-position model. The record is from RNAcentral.
CAGUAGCCGCGGGAACACAGAGGGUGCGAGCGUUAAUCGGAUUUACUGGGCGUAAAGCGUGCGUAGGCGGCUUCUUAAGUCGGAUGUGAAAUCCCUGAGCUUAACUUAGGAAUUGCAUUCGAUACUGGGAAGCUAGAGUAUGGGAGAGGAUGGUAGAAUUCCAGGUGUAGCGGUGAAAUGCGUAGAGAUCUGGAGGAAUACCGAUGGCGAAGGCAGCCAUCUGGCCUAAUACUGACGCUGAGGUACGAAAGCAUGGGGAGCAAACAGGAUUAGAUACCCGUGUAGUCCCUGUCUCUUAUAA